ACGCUGGCGGCAGGCCUAACACAUGCAAGUCGAGCGGUAGAGAGAAGCUUGCUUCUCUUGAGAGCGGCGGACGGGUGAGUAAUGCCUAGGAAUCUGCCUGGUAGUGGGGGAUAACGUUCGGAAACGGACGCUAAUACCGCAUACGUCCUACGGGAGAAAGCAGGGGACCUUCGGGCCUUGCGCUAUCAGAUGAGCCUAGGUCGGAUUAGCUAGUUGGUGAGGUAAUGGCUCACCAAGGCGACGAUCCGUAACUGGUCUGAGAGGAUGAUCAGUCACACUGGAACUGAGACACGGUCCAGACUCCUACGGGAGGCAGCAGUGGGGAAUAUUGGACAAUGGGCGAAAGCCUGAUCCAGCCAUGCCGCGUGUGUGAAGAAGGUCUUCGGAUUGUAAAGCACUUUAAGUUGGGAGGAAGGGCAGUUACCUAAUACGUGAUUGUUUUGACGUUACCGACAGAAUAAGCACCGGCUAACUCUGUGCCAGCAGCCCGCGGUAAUACAGAGGGUGCAAGCGUUAAUCGGAAUUACUGGGCGUAAAGCGCGCGUAGGUGGUUAGUUAAGGUUGGAUGUGAAAUCCCCGGGCUCAACCUGGGAACUGCAUUCAAACUGACUGACUAGAGUAUGGUAGAGGGUGGGGGGAAUUUCCUGUGUAGCGGU
Molecule: ribosomal RNA, 656 nt
Filed under: uncultured bacterium
Lineage: Bacteria
Description: bacterial SSU rRNA
Rfam family: Bacterial small subunit ribosomal RNA
Source: RNAcentral